AUGACGCUGGCGGAUGCUUUACACACUGCAGUCGAACGGCAGCACGGACUUCGGUCUGGUGGCGAGUGGCGAACGGGUGAGUAUACAUCGGAACGUGCCCAGUCGUGGGGGAUAACGUAGCGAAAGCUACGCUAAUACCGCAUACGAUCUAAGGAUGAAAGCGGGGGAUCGCAAGACCUCGCGCGAUUGGAGCGGCCGAUGGCAGAUUAGUAGUUGGUAGGGUAAAGGCCUACCAAGCCGACGAUCUGUAGCUGGUCUGAGAGGACGACCAGCCACACUGGGACUGAGACACGGCCCAGACUCCUACGGGAGGCAGCAGUGGGGAAUUUUGGACAAUGGGCGAAAGCCUGAUCCAGCCAUUCCGCGUGCAGGAUGAAGGCCCUCGGGUUGUAAACUGCUUUUGUACGGAACGAAAAGGUCCUGGUUAAUACCUGGGGCUCAUGACGGUACCGUAAGAAUAAGCACCGGCUAACUACGUGCCAGCAGCCGCGGUAAUACGUAGGGUGCAAGCGUUAAUCGGAAUUACUGGGCGUAAAGCGUGCGCAGGCGGUGAUGUAAGACAGAGGU
RNAcentral lists this ribosomal RNA (567 nucleotides) under uncultured beta proteobacterium. RNAcentral's name for it is "bacterial SSU rRNA". It matches the Rfam family "Bacterial small subunit ribosomal RNA", at positions 30 to 595 of the family's 1533-position model. Lineage: Bacteria; Pseudomonadati; Pseudomonadota; Betaproteobacteria. The record is from RNAcentral.